This 273-nucleotide ribosomal RNA is filed under the name uncultured bacterium. Its description in RNAcentral is "partial 16S ribosomal RNA". It matches the Rfam family "Bacterial small subunit ribosomal RNA", at positions 524 to 796 of the family's 1533-position model. The record is from RNAcentral.
UACGGAGGGCGCAAGCGUUGUUCGGAAUCACUGGGCGUAAAGCGCGCGCAGGCGGGUGUGCAAGUCGGAAGUGAAAUCCCGGGGCUCAACUCCGGGGCUGCUGCCGAUACUGCACGUCUGGAGACCAGUAGGGGUUGGUGGAAUUCCCGGUGUAGCGGUGGAAUGCGUAGAUAUCGGGAAGAACACCUGUGGCGAAGGCGGCCAACUGGGCUGGAUCUGACGCUGAGGCGCGAAAGCGUGGGGAGCAAACAGGAUUAGAAACCCCCGUAGUCC